GAUGAACGCUGGCGGCGUGCCUAAUACAUGCAAGUCGAGCGAACAGACGAGGAGCUUGCUCCUCUGACGUUAGCGGCGGACGGGUGAGUAACACGUGGAUAACCUACCUAUAAGACUGGGAUAACUUCGUGAAACCGGAGCUAAUACCGGAUAGUAUAUUGAACCGCAUGGUUCAAUAGUGAAAGACGGUUUUGCUGUCACUUAUAGAUGGAUCCGCGCCGCAUUAGCUAGUUGGUAAGGUAACGGCUUACCAAGGCAACGAUGCGUAGCCGACCUGAGAGGGUGAUCGGCCACACUGGAACUGAGACACGGUCCAGACUCCUACGGGAGGCAGCAGUAGGGAAUCUUCCGCAAUGGGCGAAAGCCUGACGGAGCAACGCCGCGUGAGUGAUGAAGGUCUUCGGAUCGUAAAACUCUGUUAUUAGGGAAGAACAAAUGUGUAAGUAACUAUGCACGUCUUGACGGUACCUAAUCAGAAAGCCACGGCUAACUACGUG
This 497-nucleotide ribosomal RNA is filed under the name uncultured bacterium. RNAcentral's name for it is "partial 16S ribosomal RNA". It matches the Rfam family "Bacterial small subunit ribosomal RNA", at positions 28 to 507 of the family's 1533-position model. The record is from RNAcentral.